Molecule: ribosomal RNA, 333 nt
Filed under: uncultured eukaryote
Lineage: Eukaryota
Description: partial 18S ribosomal RNA
Rfam family: Eukaryotic small subunit ribosomal RNA
Source: RNAcentral
CCCUUAGAUGAUUUGGGCUGCACGCGCGCUACACUGACCCUAACAAUGAGCAACUGUCUGGCCUGAGAUGGCUGGGUAGCCUUUUCAACCCAUGUCAUGAUUGGGCUAGAUUUUUGUAAGUCUUGAUCUCUAACGAGGAAUCCCUAGUAUGCGUGAAUCAUCAAUCCAUGCAGAUUAUGUCCCUGCCCUUUGUACACACCGCCCGUCGCUACGACCGACUGUUUCUGUCAAUGAAGCUGUAGGAUUUGGUCCUGGCCGGGCUUCACGGCCUGGCUGCGGCACUGGAGAUCACAGUUUAGUUGAUACGAAAUACAGGACGUAAAAGUCGUAACA